Molecule: ribosomal RNA, 757 nt
Filed under: uncultured bacterium
Lineage: Bacteria
Description: bacterial SSU rRNA
Rfam family: Bacterial small subunit ribosomal RNA
Source: RNAcentral
AGCGAACGUUAGCGGCGGGCCUAACACAUGCAAGUCGAGCGAGAAAGGGGCUUCGGCCCCGAGUACAGCGGCGGAGCGGGAUGGAGUAACACGUAGGUAAUCUGCCUUUCAGUGGGGGACAACGGUCCGAAAGGACCGCUAAUACCGCAUACGUUCUCCGGGACUCCGGUCCUGGAGAGGAAAGCUGGGCAACUGGCGCUGAAAGAGGAGCCUGCGUCGCAUCAGCUAGUUGGUGGGGCUAACGGCCUACCAAGGCGAAGACGCGUAGCUGGUCUGAGAGGAUGAUCAGCCACACUGGGACUGAGACACGGCCCAGACUCCUACGGGAGGCAGCAGUGGGGAAUAUUGGACAAUGGGCGAAAGCCUGAUCCAGCCACGCCGCGUGAGUGAUGAAGGCCUUCGGGUCGUAAAGCUCUGUGGGGAGGGACGAAUGUCCCGGCGUAGAGCCGGGGGUGACGGUACCUCCUUAGCAAGCACCGGCUAACUUCGUGCCAGCAGCCGCGGUAAUACGAAGGGUGCAAACGUUGCUCGGAAUCAUUGGGCGUAAAGCGCACGUAGGCGGCCUCGCAAGUCUGAUGUGAAAUCCCUCGGCUCAACCGAGGACGUGCAUCGGAAACUGCGGGGCUGAGUACUGAAGAGGAUCGCGGAAUUCCGGUGUAGAGGUGAAAUUCGUAGAUAUCGGGGAGGAAACACCAGUGGCGAAGGCGGCGAUCUGGGCAGAUACUGACGCUGAGGUGCGAAAGCGUGGGGGAGCAAA